CUGUAGGAUGGUUUUGGCUUCUGAGAGGAAUUAAGUGCUGUAGUGGUGGGGAGUCUGUGAGAAGAUGUUGUGACAGCCUUGAGGACACUUGCUAUGAGUAUGGAGCAGAUUUUAGUGACUUCUAGAGUUGUGGCUAUGGAUAAAGAAGAGUAUUUCAGCCUGACUCCAGCUGAAGGUGGGAGUGCUGGGACUGUGGCUAUGAACAAUUGCAAAUGGAUUUCCCCUGCCUGGGUCGCUGUGGAGCAGCAGCCAGCCUAGAGAGGAGGAAGAGCAUGCAAUAUUCUCCUGCCUUUCUCACAGAGGAUAUUAUGCUUAUUUGGAUUGUUCACAUAAGGAGAAACACUCAAGGAGGAAGCCAAGGACUGGUUGGAGAUGCUGCAAGCCUGUCACUGCACUCCUGUGAGCAGCUGCUCUGAUGAGGAAGACACAGAUGCUUUAAUUCUUCAGGUGUUUUGAACUAUUUAUCCUAUAUAAGACUGCUAAGCACCAAAAUGGGUUUGGAGAUACUUCUGCUUUUUCUAGUAUUUGAGAAAUAGUGAUGGGAUAGGACUGACCCUGGAAGCCCUAAGCUUGGGUUCUAAUUAAAGAGAUUCUUGGAUUCCAGUCCAGAGACAAAUGACUUGUGCAUCUGGUAAUUAUGUCAGAAUUUGAGAGUAUGGGCUCCCAGCCCAUACCGCUGAAGAGUUUGAAUUGCUCCCUGAGCAGCUCUCUACUCCUUUGAGCUGUUUCUUUGUGUACAGUCCUUAACUUAAAACAAUUAAAAAGAUAAACACAAGGUUGCAAAUAACAAAAACUAGUAUUCAGAGAAGUAGAAGUUUGCUUAAUUUAUCUUUGAAGAAUGUAGGAAUUAGUAUAGAAGUAUUGAUGUCUUUCUGGAGUUAGCUGCAGCAGCUGAAGCCUCCUUGAGGGCCUGCUGAACUUGCUGCUUUAAUCUUAUAAUUACAAAUAUUGUGAAAUUAACAUCUAGAAUUUGAUUGAGUCAUCUCAUGUUCAGUGCUUUCUCAAUGGUCUGGCAGGCUGGUUGGGCUCAGGUUGUGUGAAGGAACCUGUAGUACAAGGACAAAUCCACUGUGCUAUCAUCUGCCUGGAGUGGUAUUUUAAUGAUGGGUUUAGAUGAUGAACAGAUAGGGGGGAAGAAGCAUUGAGUAUCAAGCAAGGUGGGGUGAAUCUAACUGGAUUUUAUUUUCUGUUGCUCACAGUUGUGGCCCAUCUGCUGCUCUCAUAAAAAGAAUAGGUUGGCUGCUGCAGAUGCUUGUGUUGUUGUAAUUAACAGUGCAGUGUGAUCUGAAGAAUUCAGUCAAGUGAAGCAGGACGAGUGCCAGUCAGGCUUGGCUUUUUUGGCUUGCUGACAUCUUAUUGUAAAUGACACUUUCAUUAGCUCAUUUAUUGCACCACUACUUCUAUAAGUGAUUGUCAACUAGGAGAAUAUAUCAGGCUGUUUACAGCAGCAAGGUGAGUCAGGAUUUUUUUAGCCUUCUCCCUUUUUAUGAGGAAGACUGACAGUCAGUCCCAGCCAGUAUCAGAUUGAUGGCUGCACUGAAACCAUUUCCUGUCACUUCUAAGCUGAUGUGGCCCCUGGGUGGCUGGAGGAUUGAGAGGGCACAGGAAUUGAUGGCACUAAUUCUCUGGUGGGGUUUAUUUCUGCAUUUGCAGAUAAGUGGCUGUUGACUAGUUUUAGGAGUUAUUUUAUAACUCAUGUUUGAAUUACUCAGCUGCUUUUUGCCAGAGGCUUUUUUUCUGUAGUUAAUUAUAGGAUUAUAAUUGCCAAUUAAGUGAUAAGCCACAAAAGAGUUUGUAUCCGUGAACUGCUGGUGCAUGCAUUCAGAGCAUUGUGCAGCACAAGCAGCAUAGGAAGUGACAUAGGAUGCUUAUGGCUGUUUUGUACAAGACCUAUUUUUUCUGUGAUGUAUUGUAUAUUUUAAAAAGGCAAGAUGUGGAAAGGAGGUAGGAUUUCUUUGUCGAUAGUGCAAUUACAAAUUAUACCAGCAACAAGGGGAGGAACAGAAAGAUUUUUACUUUCUUCAACCUCCCAAUUCUCCUUCUGUCCCCUGCUCUGAGUCAGUCCUUCCUUCUGGCUUAAUUUCAGUUUGGGCCACCUGAGGUUCAGUUCUGUUCAAAGUACUCUGUUAAAGUGGAUAUGCUAUAUCAUUCUUGGGUUAAAUUAUAGUGGUAAGAAAUGAAAGUAGUAGAGGCAUUUUCUUUAAAUUGUUCUUUAAAGAUCUGUUGCAACAGCUCUAGCUGAGAUGCUCCAGAACAAAUCAAAAUUGACCAUUGUCUAGCAUCAAAAAUAGUGUGAUUUAGCUGAAAUGCUUAUUCUGAAUUUGUUUCUUCUCCGAGGCAGCUGAGCAAUUUAACUGGAGUAUUGCAUUGGAGGAACGUGGCAUUUCUUGAUUGUUUUCAUAGCACAAGGUGGGAAAAUAGCUUUCCUGUCCUCUAAAUGCUUUAGACUUGAAAAUGUGUUAAUCUGCUUGUUGAUCACAAAGAGAUGCUUUAUCUUGAGAGAAAAUGUUAAGGGAAAAUUUGUUGUGAGGAAAUUGACACAAAUGAGUUGCAUUUUGUGUGUGUGUACAAUAAUGAGGGGUAGAGUGAGGAGAAGCUUUGUCAUUCAGAAAAGUAGAAAUUUUCUUUUCUGCAAGAAAGAAAAAUAAGUAUGCAACUUUUACUGAGGUGGAACACUUUAGUUGCUUCACUUCAUUAUGAGCGAAAUCAAUACUAACAAAGUUAAGUUGCAGUAGUGUGACAAUGAAUUCACCUCCUGAUUUAACAGCCACCCUUCAAAGGCAGGAUGCCAAGUGAAAUGCCCUCUCUGUGCAGAGUGAAGAAAUGUACUUGAAGCAAGAAUUUUUUCUUAAGUAUGGUGCUGAGUAACUGGUCAAAGGAUUGCUACCAGUCCAGUCACAGUGCUAACAAUAUCCAAAUUAGCUGUUAUUACAGCUUACUUGUGAUAAUAAUAUUAUAAAUAUAUACAAACUUUGUCAUCUCCACUUUUGGUAUUGCCCUUUGUUCCCAUGUUACUUUAGCCCCUGGGCUGCAUGAGGUAAUUUUCCUUGAAAGGAAGAGAAGGUGGUUUUACAAUGAAUUGUCAGCACAAUGAGCCCUUUGCUGAGGAAAAUGCCAUGAUGGUUUCUUCCCCGUGAUUUUGCACCUUCUUCAGCUUCUUUUUGUGGGAUUGCUGAAGCAGUCUGCUCACUUGCUUUUCUUCCAGUGAAUGUAAGUGAUGUAUUGAAGAUCUGUUAUUUGUGUACAUGAUGGCUGUUUGUUCUUUGGUGCUCCAAAACAGGUUUUACCCACCUCCUAAACUUGCAUGCAUAUAGUGACUGUAAAUCAAUCUUGUGAUUUGUUUUUGUAGUUCUGUGGUCUCUGUUGUCGUUCUGUGGCUGCUGUUUCAAAGCCUCUGUUGUAAUUUUCUCCCUCUAUUUUUGGGCUGGUACCACAUCUGUUUUUCUUAGAUGUCACUCAGGCUGAGGUUAACUGAUGUUCUGAGAGCACAACAAAUCUUGUUUCAGUUCUUGGGUCACUGAGAGUUCACUCUAAAAAUAAGAGAUCCACUAGAAGACACACAUAAAUAGAGAUACAGAGACACAAUUCUGUGGUAGGUCCUUGCUACAAAUGAUCUUCUAGUUAUGCCAAUAUCUUUGCUAUGUUAUAGAAACUGCAGCAAUAAAUGAUCAUAUAAAAUUGUAGUGGCUAGGCAGUAAGAAUUAUUAUUUGAAUAUAUUGGUGUGAUGUAUGCUUGGAAAGUAGGAUAUAAAAAAUGAAAAGUCAUGUCUGAGGAUGUGCAUCUGUGGAGUUUAUUGAAGGGCAUGUGGAUGAUUUUGCUAUGUCAGCCAUCUUUAUUAUGCCUUAUGGAAAGUAAGCUGUAAGAAACAAUUUGA
This is a long non-coding RNA of Passer domesticus (house sparrow), 3875 nucleotides long. RefSeq lists it as uncharacterized. The transcript has 4 exons. Lineage: Eukaryota; Metazoa; Chordata; Aves; Passeriformes; Passeridae. The record is from RefSeq and is a predicted model, not a curated record.